RNAcentral lists this long non-coding RNA (736 nucleotides) under Theobroma cacao (cacao). RNAcentral describes it as "long non-coding RNA (TCAC_LNC004723)". Lineage: Eukaryota; Viridiplantae; Streptophyta; Magnoliopsida; Malvales; Malvaceae. The record is from RNAcentral.
CAUGGUUGGCAUGUUCAAAACAAGGCAGGGUAGCUUUUCUUACCAAUGUGUUGGAGCUUCAUACCCUACCUGAAGCAAAGAGCCGCGGGGAUCUUCCUGUACUUUUCUUGGAGGUAAUGCAAUCUUUGUGAGGUUUGUUCAAGUUCACCUGACAAAAAAAGGGGUUGCGUAAAUUCAAUGCGGUCUUUGUUAUUUCAGAGCACAAAGAGCCCGAUGGAAUUUGCAGAGGAACUAGUGAAAGAGGCUCAUCAGUACAACGGAUUUAACCUGAUAUUGGCUGACAUUCCUUCCAAAUCAAUGGUUUAUGCCUCCAAUAGACCAAAGGGGGAGCCCGUUAGCAUCCAACAGGUUUCUCCAGGCCUUCACGUUCUUUCAAAUGCGAAGCUCGACUCACCCUGGCAUAAGGUAGAUAUUAUACAUAUCAUUUUACGUAGAAAACAACAAUGAGAGUGUUGAUCCUUUUCUUCCCCCCUCUGCAUGCAGGCUCAGCGGCUGGGUAAAAACUUCAAACAAAUGCUCAAUAAACUUGGUAAAAAUGAAGUAAUCGUGAAAGAGAUGGUUGAAAAACUUAUGAAGGACAAAGUUAAAGCUGAUAAAAGCAAGUUACCUGGGAUUUGUGCUCUUGACUGGGAGUUCAAUCUUAGCUCCAUAUUUGUCGAAGUGGACACCCCACUGGUAAAAAUUUCAACUAUAAAUUCUACUCAAAAUGUGGAAAUUUGGGUAGUUUUACUUAUCC